CAUAUCUCUGGGCAGACGGACUCUUGUGAGGCUUGUAAAAUACUGAGCACCUUCUUGGCAGAGUCGCAGUGAAUAAGAAUUUUCCCUCUGGAAUAAAAUGCACAGCGGAAUCAAGGCUGUGGGUCACCCCAUCGAUGCGGGGUCAUCAGAAGCUGAACGUGAGCUGUGGGAGAGCAGCCGAGAUGAGACAAGGAGGUUUCGCUGUGGGUUGGAACUGUCACGGGGCAGCUGACGGUGGAGCAGAACAUCUGAACGGGCCUACGCAGUGCUGGGAGGAAAAACACACCAACCCCAUCUUGCUGGGAAAUGGGGCUUCAGCUUCUUCCAGUUUUUGGAUUCCAACCCUGCCCUAAAUCCAGCAGAGCUCUCCGGAAACACCACGUCUGUGGGUGGCACAGGGGGUCACUGCCCGAAUCUGCUUUCUCCUGGCAACCAAAAUGUGCAGCUGGAUCCCCGGCCUCGGCCAGUCACGGGAUGUCUCUGGGGUGCAGCUCGGCCUUUCCAAAGGACGCUUUGCCAGUGUCUGAGGAAAUGGUGUUGAAGAGCCUCUGUGUUGGAUGGAAAAGGAGGCAGGGAAGGAGUGAAGAUGAAAACGAAGAUAUGGCGGGGGGGCCGUUCCUGCAGUGCUUGUGAUGUGAGCGGAGAGGUGGCGACUCCCUGGGAAGGACACAGGGACCAGCAGAAGGAAAUAGCAUGUUCUUGGGGAAUACAAACAGUCCACAGCCUUCCUGCACCACUCCCUACCGCUCUCCUGGAGCCUGUGGGGAGCAGCAGUGGGGCUGCCUGGCCUGGCACCCCCAGACAAUCGGACCCACACCAAAGGUGAAAAGGCUGAGGGAGAUGGAGGGAGCAUCAACAGUCAUGAUGUUUGGGCAAGACCAGCCCAUCCCACCCCCUGAAGCUCAGCUGCAUGUUUAGGACCACCACUGGAUCCAUGCUGGCGUUUGCCUCUUGAUGAUCAUCUCCCAAAACAUCCUUGUUCCUGGAAAGCCUCAACAAAAUGUUCUGCGAGAGAUGAGUGGCAAUCAGUUGGAGACCGCAGCUGUGAGUGUCCAGGGCAGGAGCUCCCUGCCAAGCCUGAUGCAAGAUCAGUUCACUCUGGCCAUACAAAUCACCUCUCCGUGCCCACAGACCGUGAUGUAGGUUUCCUGUUCACCUGGGCUGGAGACGCUCCAGAGCUCCUGCGGUGCUGGACACGGAGGGAUUCCCCAGGCAGACUUGCUGGAGAACUCGUCUGCUCUGAAAAUCACCAGUCCCAAGAUGUUCUUGAGGAGGUCCUGGAAAGGCAACAAGGAGACGUGUCCUGGUAUGGGGAUGGAGGUGUUGUGAAGCCCAUCAGCUGGCAGGGGGUUGCAGACCCCUCUGCCCAUCCUUCCCAAACAGAGCUGUCCUCCUGCAGCACAAGGCGGAGAAGAAAGCGUAUCGCGAGCAAAUCCUGUGGGUUCAGACUGGCAAAGGAAGCAGAGCAGUGCAUGCGCAGAGGUGCUUUCAAUCCUAAGGAUGCUGCACUCAGUGCUGAUAAGAGACCAACAGAAU
This 1536-nucleotide long non-coding RNA is filed under the name Columba livia (rock pigeon). RNAcentral's name for it is "partial uncharacterized LOC102094987, transcript variant X1". Lineage: Eukaryota; Metazoa; Chordata; Aves; Columbiformes; Columbidae. The record is from RNAcentral.